Molecule: long non-coding RNA, 1665 nt
Filed under: Marmota monax (woodchuck)
Lineage: Eukaryota; Metazoa; Chordata; Mammalia; Rodentia; Sciuridae
Source: RNAcentral
CAGACAUUGUUCCAUCAGCAGCCAACUAGAAAGUCUGUCCUCUCCUCUGAAGAUCUCCUCUCUGUCCCUCAUUGGCAUUCCUCAUCAGAUCAACUUCCUUAUUAGGACAAGCCCUGAUCACACAGAAUGACAAACAGGUGACCAGGAGGGAGAUGAGUGUAACCACAGAGCUUCCGUGGUCCGAGGCGAUGGGGACCACACUCUUGCACCUGUUGGAAAGGAGAUGUAGAGCAUGUUCACAAGCCUCCCCUGUGCCGACCAGAGAGAGCCGGGUCAUGGGGGAGGUUGCAGAAGAAGUCAGACUUGUUUCCUCUGCUUGGAACUGUAAAGGAAAAGAAAAAGGAGGAAAGUGAAAAACUAAAGAGUAGCACAGAACUAUUAAUCUUCCAGAAUUUUUUAAUCUGUAACCUCUGAGAACUUUCUGAAGAACCCACUAACCACUAUUUCCUCUUUUGGUGACUACUUCCCUUGGUUCCUUUUUGACUCUUCUUUCCGUAUGUAAAGCAACCCUGUCCUACUGGUAGGCUGGGGAAUAAGAGUUGCUGAAGAAGAAUCAUGUUCAUUGCCCACUGACAGGGAAGAGGGGACAUUUUCAUGUAAAGAGCAGUUUGCACAGAGAGGUCCAUUCAACUUCCUUCAGUCCGAGGACGGGAGAGUGAAGAAUUUACAUUUGUCAAGAGAAAAAAAAAUAGUCUGCAAAUAGUAUUUCACUGACCAAAAAAGGACAGUAAGGACAGGAAGUGGAGACUCACGGGGACCUGAAAGGGGGUCCAGCAUUGUCAGUAAUGUCUCCAUGUGCCUGUCUCUUUAUUAAUCAGCAAGGCACUGCUUUGACCAUGUAUAUCAAAAGGUUUUCUCCUCUAAGUGUGCAGUACAUUUAAAAAAAAAUGUGGGUGUUUUAAUCUAUAUUCAUUAUUCUCACUUUUGGAAAAAUUAAGCUGUCUCUAGACUGAAGCAGCCAAGGUUUAUGGUUUUCUUAAAUGAUGACCUUAGUCUGUGGUUCUGAAAUGGUCCUUUGCUGUUAGCAAUCCCUACCUUCAAUCCAUUCUCUCCAACAUCUAAUAUUAGGCUGUUCUGACCAUCAGAAUACUCCGCUUUUGAGAGCACAACUGACAAGUGAUUUGUCUUCCAUGAUACAUGGGGAUAUCCUCCCCUCAUCUCAGAUACGGAUGGAGACUUAGUUUCAUGUUUAGAGAAGUCUUGGUUGACGUCCAUGUGUCCCUUAACUAAGAGAGGAGAGCUGUCUUAGUACAUGAAUACAAAUUUGUGAUCUACUGGAUAACUUUGGCAUGUUCAGAUAACAUAAACAAAAGGGAAAAUAAGAGACAGUAAACUAACAGAUAAAGGGUUAAUGUCCUAAGUUCAUAAAGAACUCGUGUAAUUCUUUAGGAAAAGAAUAUUUCACUUAUUUGAAAUAUGAAAAAUUCUUUUUCUGAACUAGGUAUUUAAUAAAGAGCAUUGCCUUAAAUGAAUAUAAUUAUUUUAAAUUUUACUAGCCACCAAAUAAAUUAAAAUUUAAGCAAUUAAAUUUAAUUUCUGUCAACAUUUUUUAAGAAAAACCAUACCACACAGUGUUGGAACUUUCAAAAACGUUUUUGGGACUACAUAGUGUAAAAGUUUUCUGGAUUAAAGGUAUUUAAACAACCAGAGAAAUGAAAAAUUGGG